Oncorhynchus mykiss (rainbow trout) is the source of this 1008-nucleotide long non-coding RNA. RefSeq lists it as uncharacterized. NCBI's taxonomy places the organism in Eukaryota, Metazoa, Chordata, Actinopteri, Salmoniformes, Salmonidae. The record is from RefSeq and is a predicted model, not a curated record.
UGGCCUGGAAGUCAGUGGUGGGAACAACAGGGAUCGGCCCUCCCUGUUUUCCAAACUUCCUCUCCAAACUCUCCUGAACGGACACUGAGAGACAGCGAGGGAUAGAGAGGGAAAUAGUUAGAUGGCAAUGUAGCAAUGUAACCUGAUCAUUGGCAACCAUCGUAUUUUCAAGUAUAUCCAAUCGAUCAACAUUCAUCCCUGAAGUUUCAUCUGGGUUCACUCACACAUUUCAGAUUAGUAUCGUUUUCAUUCAGUCAAAACCUGAACAUCAGAAAGGCUCUGGCACGUCACCUUAAUGUAACCUACGUUAUAUACGGGAGUGGCCAGUGGAAAUAUCACCAGUUACACUUCUUUCACGGUCUUCUUUUCAGUUGUCCUUACAACUCUGAAAACACGGAGAACAUUUCCAAGAGGGGACACAGUACUGUAUCUCCUGCUACACAGAGGUUGUUAAAGGAAGAGGAAAAGUCUUCAGAACUGAACGAACACAGAUCCUCUACAGACAGAGAGACAAGAUCAGAAAGCGGACACACAGCUCCAGAGUGGUAGUAAACAAACAGGUAAAACAACAGAACAUAUUGCCACCCCUCGUCCCCUACCCUGAGGGGAUGACAGAUGAAAAGGAAAAUAAAAUAUAUUAAAAAAACAUUUUGCAGGGAAAGCCAGAGACUUUAUAUCGUGAUGAAAUAAAAAAUGCUCCAUGCGACCUCAUUUUCUACACAACAAAUGGUUCUACAUGGGAAGAGGAAAUACUGAAACACUAUCCUGAGGGAAAACAGUGGAGAAAAAUUCAAGAUGGCAAACAACUGAAAACGAAGGCAGGCACUAUAAAUGUGUAUUAUACUACUGGGAUAAUCAUGGUGCAGGAUAAUAGUGAGACGUUAAAGAUAUUCCCAAAUGAUUUCCCAGCCUUGAGAGAGAGAGUGAGACAGAGCGUCGAGACGACAGAGGAUGUCGAGAAGAAAAUGGCAGAGCUAGGCAUUGAGGAAAGAGGAGAGCAGAGGAAAA